This 500-nucleotide ribosomal RNA is filed under the name uncultured bacterium. Its description in RNAcentral is "partial 16S ribosomal RNA". It matches the Rfam family "Bacterial small subunit ribosomal RNA", at positions 28 to 507 of the family's 1533-position model. The record is from RNAcentral.
GACGAACGCUGGCGGCGUGCUUAACACAUGCAAGUCGAACGGGCCUGUCUUCUUUUUUGGGGGGUGGGUUGAGUGGCGAACGAGUGAGUAUCACGUGAGUAACCUGCCCUUCGGUCCUGGAUAACCGCUUGAAAGGGCGGCUAAUACGGGGUGGUCCGGUUGGUCCGCAUGGGCUGGUCGGGAUAGAUUCACUGUUUUUGGUGUUUCGGCGGGGGAUGGGCUCGCGGCCUAUCAGCUUGUUGGUGGGGUGAUGGCCUACCAAGGCGGUGACGGGUAGCCGGCCUGAGAGGGUGGGCGGCCACACUGGGACUGAGAUACGGCCCAGACUCCUGCGGGAGGCAGCAGUGGGGGGUAUUGCACAAUGGGCGGAAGCCUGAUGCAGCGACGUCGCGUGAGGGAUGGAGGCCUUCGGGUUGUGAACCUCUGUUUCCGGUGGUGAAGGCCCUGUCCGUGUGGUGGGGUUGACGGUAGCCGGGGAUGAAGCGCCGGCUAACUACGUG